This is a long non-coding RNA of Equus asinus (donkey), 3704 nucleotides long. The record is from Ensembl. NCBI's taxonomy places the organism in Eukaryota, Metazoa, Chordata, Mammalia, Perissodactyla, Equidae.
GACUCGCACACUGAUUUCCUUUCUCUGGUUACGCUCCUGUCUGCUUCCGUGUUCCCGCUUUCAAAAAUAUCCAGCGCCGUGGCAAAUCGCUCUCAGAAUAUAAAUUUGCUGCCCGCUCUAAAACUUUUCAGUUCCUCGCUGUUUUUAAAAGCCUCGAACGGAGCAGUCAGUCUUGCACCGCGUUCUUUGCGGCGAGAGAAGCCGUUUCAGAGAAGGGCAGCCCGUCUCCAUGGCGACGCUGCAAGAAAACAACAGAAGGGAGGCCAGCGGAAAAACCCCCGGUCGGUCAGUCAGUCGGUCGUCAAGCCAACCAACCUCGCCGAAGCACCGGUGUUUGUUCCGAGCCUCAGAGAGAGCCAUUCGCCCUAAAUACUAAGAAAUACGUAAUUUUUAACACCGAGUUCGGAGGGAAAGAGGAAGCCGAGAAACGUUUACUGGUUUUAUGACUUGAAGGUUCUCCAGCUGCGGCCCGUUGAGUGAGGCUGGCCAGAGACGGAUCAACAAGACAAGAGCAACCAGGCGUCUAUGAACACGUGCAUCGUGCCUGGAACACGCGGGAGCUCCCAGCGAUGAGAACCCAAAGAGGUGUCUCGACAGAUGGACAUUUCUCCUCCGGAAAAGUGAAUUUCCUGUACAGAAAGGACCCUUCUGCCCCGUCCUUGGAGCGUUUCCUGCAUCUGCUGGUUCUCAGUGGCCGUUAGCUGAAAAUAAUCCAUAGACAGAAGAGGCCUAUGCCAGGGUGGCUUGUUCCGGUCCCUUCAGUGGGACCAAAGCAUGUCGGACACAAUCCGAAGGUGUCGCCCUGUCUCAGGUGAUGGGGAGCAAAGGUCAGCCAAGGGGUCAGGGGGUCAGAGGUGAGCGUAUUAGGACAGAAGAGGGAGUGCUGGGGAUGCAGAAUGAAGAAGGGAGACAGAGACAAGGGAACGGGGAGGGGGAAGUGGUGGACACGUGCAGGGUUAUGAGUGGCAUGCUGCACCCUUCAUGGACAACCAUGCAGAUCCCGUGUUUCGGAACGCUCAGCUUGUCAGUAGGGGAUCCAAUGGGUUGAAACCCAUGGUGGCCAACCUUUAUUGAGUUCAGGAACCACCAGCGGAGCUUGUUCAAAGGCAGACCCUGAUGGCUGUCAUCUGGGAGGUGGGGCCGGGGAUUCGGCAUCUCCAGUGAGCAGCCAGGGGAUGCGGAUGCUGCUGGUCCAUGGGGACCACGCCUCGGGUAGCAAGGUUGGGAAGAUGGAGCCCAGGAGCCCAGGUGAUGAGGGUCUCAGCCUGGUCAGGAACAGGGAGGGGGGAGGGGGUGUGAAAAUGUUAACGAUGGCACAGUUACCUGCCUGGAGUAGUCAGCGAUGGCUUCUGCCAUCCUCAUUUUCCUGUUUUCGAGGGAACCACCACUGACUGGUCUUCCCUCCUGUUGGGUGACCUGCGCCUGCUGCGUUCGCGUCAAGGCAGAAUUGCAAACGGAAAGAAAAAAGGUCGUCCUGUCAUCACUUUAAAUAAACAAAAUCUGAAAUCCCCCCCCCCCCACCUCCUUGAAUUUGCAAGAAUUUGCUCUCAGGGAGCGUAACGGAUGUGUGCCAUUCUCCUUGCAUUAUAUCCGUUACAAAGACGGAUACAAAGUAUGAAGGAUGCACGAUUUUUAUGCAAUUACCGAGUGCAAGUGUCUUCCAGAUGCCGAAUGACUCAUCCUGGCUUGACUGCAUGUGUUUUUUUGAUCUAAUCUGUGGUUAGAAAACAAAGACAUAUAUGGGCGUGGUUUUCAUUUCCACUGAGUGGAAGUCCCCUUUGCUUAUAUGAAUUUUUAAAGUCGUCAACUGGUUGAAACAGAUUCGCCUGUCCCAGGAGACCCGAGGAGCCUCCCAUUUGAACUGAAAUAGUGAAAAAGAGAUUGUACGGCCCAGUCAUGAGUGGGAGUUUGGCUCCAUGAUGCUUUUACAAAUCCUGAUGACUUUAGGGCCAUCAUGAAGACGUUCAUUGAGUACUCCAGGCAAGGUCACUCUGCCAUCGGCUUCCAACUUCUUGAGGUUGUCGGGGGAAUUCACUUCCUUGCGGGUGCAGGACCGAGGGUGCAGCUUCUGGCUGGAACUAGCCCUCAGCUCCUGGGGGUCACCCGUUAUUCUGUGUCGUGUGGGUUCCUGCAACACGGCCUCUUGCCUCACGGGAGCUGCCUCGUCCAAGCCAGCGACCCAGAGGGAGAGGAAGACCGGAGGGCGUCUGCUAACCAAACUGAGUCCUACGUAGUGAGGUCACGGAGGUGACACCCCACCACCUUUGCCAUAAGCUGUCGGUGAGAAGCAAAUCUCAGCUCCUGCCCAUCUCCCGGGCGAGGGGAUCCUAUAAGAGUCUGAACGCUUCUGAUGCUUGUGCCCCGCACCAGAACGUUUGCGCGAUUCCUCGAGGGUCCAAGGUUCUUUGAACAAAUUCCUUGUCCUUUUGCACAACGAUUCAGAAGGCUAUUCCGUCGCCUGCCACUCGGAAACUUGAUUGACAGACGGCAGACCAACCGUGCAGCAGAAGGACCCAGAACGAGCGUGCCGUGCCUUCCUCGUUCCUGCCCCUGACUCUCGCGUGUCUCCCCACCCGCCCGCACCGAAGGCACCGUGAUGGGAAAGAGAAACAGGUGGGUGCAGAGACGUUAUCACUAACAGCACAGACUCACAAUUGCUUUCGGGGAAAGACGAUUAGAAGGCGUCUGAUCCUCCUCGGACCGGUCUCCCGCGGCUGCCACCACAACGUCCCAUAGACUGCGGGUCUUAAGGCAACAGCAAUGGAUUUGCUCAAGCUUCUAGAGACUGGAAGUCUGAAACCAGGGGGUCAGCAGGGCUGAUUCCUUCUGGAGAGUCUUGGGGAGCGUCCGUUCCAGGCCGCAGCCCUGACUUUAUUCACGUGACCUCAGACGCCACCCACGUCAUCUUGGAAAACCUCCUGCCCAUCGUCUUCCACCCCCGUCACCUUCUCUAGCCAUCGUCCUCCGUAUUCGUCAAGGUUCUCCGGAGAAUCAGAGCCCAUAGGAUACCUAGAGAUAGGUGCAAGAGGAGGUGUAUUCUAGGGAUUGCCUCAUGGGGUGAUGGAGGCUGCGAAGUGCCACCCAUCGAGCUGGAGACCCAGGAGAGCGGGUGGCGGACUCGGUCCAAGACCAAAGAUGGGAGAACCGGCAGCUGCGAAGGCCGAGGGCAGAAGACGGACGUCUCAGCUCAAACAGAGAGCGACUUCCUCUUUCCUCCACCUUUCUUUUUCUACUCUAGCGCUCAACGGGUGGCAUGGGGCCCAUCCACGCUGGGGAGGGCCAGCGGCUUAACUCAGCCCAUGGAUUCACCAUCAGGGGACCACUAUGUCCCGUCCCACCCCCCGUCCCCCCCAGAUUCACAGGCAGCCCAGGCCCAGCCAAGCCGUCAUCCGGGUCUCUCGUCACUGAGGUUUGGCCUCAUUCUUUUGGCCUCCGGCUCUCUCGAAAAGUCAGUCAACAACCUUCCAUUCCCAAAGUGGCCUCGGAUAUAAAAUUAAAGGCACAUGAACACGCUCGCCGGCCGGCCUUUGUUUUUUUUUUUCAGUUCGUUCCACUAACAAUGAAAUCUUUCUUCCUCGUCAUCAUUUCCACUCAGUGGCGUUGAAACAGGAAAGAAUUACGGUUCGAGCUGCAAAAAAAGUUUCCUUUGACUUUUGGCUACAAUAAUGUUCUCCCUAGGCUUUUUUUUUUCUUUUCGUUUUUUU